RNAcentral lists this ribosomal RNA (1168 nucleotides) under metagenome. RNAcentral describes it as "bacterial SSU rRNA". It matches the Rfam family "Bacterial small subunit ribosomal RNA", at positions 340 to 1522 of the family's 1533-position model. The record is from RNAcentral.
UACGGGAGGUAGCAAGUGGGAAUUUUGCACAAUGGGCGAAAGCCUGAUGCAGCGACGCCGCGUGAGGGAUGAAGGCCUUCGGGUCGUAAACCUCUGUUGAUGGGGAAGAAAAAAUGACGGUACCCAUCGAGGAAGCCUCGGCUAACUCCGUGCUAGCAGCCGCGGCAAGACGGGGGAGGCUAGUGUUGUCCGGAUUGACUGGGCGUAAAGAGCGUGUAGGCGGGGUCUUAUGUCAGUGGUGAAAUUUUCUCGCUCAACGAGAAAACUGCCGCCGAAACUGAGACUCUUGAGGGCAGGAGAGGAGAGUGGAAUUGCUGGUGUAGCGGUGAAAUGUGUAGAUAUCAGCAAGAACACCCGUGGCGAAAGCGGCUCUCUGGACUGCUCCUGACGCUGAGACGCGAAAGCCAGGGGAGCGAACGGGAUUAGAUACCCCGGUAGUCCUGGCUGUAAACGAUGGUCACUAGGUGUUGGGGGAUCGACCCCUUCAGCGCCGUAGCUAACGCAUUAAGUGACCCGCCUGGGGAGUACGACCGCAAGGUUGAAACUCAAAGGAAUUGACGGGGGCCCGCACAAGCGGUGGAGCAUGUGGCUUAAUUCGACGCAACGCGAAGAACCUUACCAGGGUUUGACAGUUAUGGAAUCCCUUCGAAAGUUGGGAGUGCCCUUCGGGGAACCAUAAAACAGGUGGUGCAUGGCCGUCGUCAGCUCGUGUCGUGAGAUGUUGGGUUGAGUCCCGCAACGAGCGCAACCCUCACUGUGUGUUGCCAGCGGUUCGGCCGGGAACUCACACGGAACUGCCUCGGUAACGAGGAGGAAGGUGGGGAUGACGCCAGGUCCGCAUGCCCCUUACACCCUGGGCUGCACACAUGCUACAAUGGGAAGUACAAUGGGUCGCAAUGUCGCGAGGCGGAGCUAAUCCUCAAAACUUUCCCCAGUUCGGAUUGUAGUCUGCAACUCGACUACAUGAAUGUCGGAAUCGCUAGUAACCGCAAAUCAGCUACGUUGCGGUGAAUACGUUCUCGGGCCUUGUACACACCGCCCGUCAAGCGAUGAGAGUCAAGUGCACCUGAAGUCGUUGGCCUAACUUGUAAAAGAGGGAGGCGCCCAAGGUGCGAUUGGCGAUUGGCGCUAAGUCGUAACAAGGUAGCCGUACUAGUACGAGUGAAGU